UCGAUGCGAAAAUCGUCAUUGGUCGGCGAGCCGGCUUAGAAGCAAGUUUACUUAAGAGUUAUUAUUAAAGACGCGCACUUGUAGAGGUGAUUCCCGCGAAUGUGAGCAUCGGUUGUUAGUUGAAAAUUAAACAAUUUUGCACACGUCGACGGGGAUCGCACACGGCAUUACCUGCGGAGAAGAUUUUCAAGUGAUCCUAGCAAGGAUGCGACAUACGUAAGAACAUGAAUCACGGCUGGACCCUUACGAAUGACAGGGAGAAAACGUCGACUCACAAGUGAGACAAUUUCGUGAGGUUCCUGAAGGUGUCAUUCGACAACAUUCCUAUCUGAUUGUUGCUCAGGUCCCUGAAAUCAGAAGAAACGAUCCAUGGUUGUGGUUAUCUUCAAUCUCUGCGAGGGUGGUUCAGUCUCUCCGGUUGGAUCGUCUUGAUGUCGUUCACGUCCAGAUACAACUCGGUGGUUUCCGGUGGAAUCCCACGUGGAAUCUCUGUAAGUUGAGACCUCGAACACCUCACCACUGACCCCGCGCAAUUACAUUGGGGUGGGCAGUAAUCGUCUCCCAAGCAACCCACGCUGUCGUCUAUAAAAUAAACGGUUCAUCAUGUUGCUGAAGAGAAGAUCAGGAAGAUGGCGUAGCUGGUUAUUGUUCAAACGCAGCUUCUCGACACCGACUAAAUCAUGGAAGGCACUUCUCUCGAUGGUGUGAAUCUGAUUAUCCGAUAGCCAACUGGAAAAUACAGAAUCGAGCAGAGUCAUCAGGAUUUCUUUGUACCAAUCCCCGUACUCGAAGUGGUCGGACCAGAGUCUUCCACUUAACAAUCCGCUGCCGAUGGAAUCCCAUUGAAUCGAUUCGAUUUCUCCCCGCCGAUGAAGGAGAGCAGGAAGAGAUCCUCGCGUGUUUUACAAUGAGACUGGUCUGUCGGUUGCUAGCUCGCGCCAUGGUAACGUUAACAGGUGUAACGAGCCUCUAGGUGGAACACUGGAAGCUCGUGUAAACGUGGCAGCGCGAUGCAAACGAGGCCAAAACGGUCCCAAUAUAGGUGUAAGUUACCUGACGCGGUGCUGUGCACCUGCCGGGCUAAAGGGAAUCGCAAUCGAGCCUGGCUAGCCCGUCUAACCGGUACUGCGGUGUAAAAUUCUCAACUAUGCACUUAGCACGAGCAACCACUAUCUACAGGGUGUUUCAAACGUGUCGUCGAUGUACGAAUUGAUGAUUCUUGAAAGAAUUCAAUAGUGAUUGAUCUUCGAGGCAGUCUAAAAAAAUUUUAGAAAAAAAGCAAACCAGUUGACGAAGAAUCGAUGCCUCCUAUUUUCAAAGCAAAGUAUCAGAUUUGAAAGUCCUUCCAUGGUAGAUAUUUUCUAGCCAAAAAUGCAAGGAAAUAGGUAUGCAUAUCACGUGCCUUGAGAUAAGUGGUAGUUUCCGGAAAAUAUGACCAACAUCGAUCUCAAUAUUACACUGAAGGAAGAAAAAGAGAAAAUAACCCAUCCUGAAUAACCCAUUCUAGGAGGAGAUUCUCAUCGAUUCUCGAUUUGAUUAAUGCAGCAGUUGGCAAAUCGUAGAAAGAGAAAUUGUGUCUGGUUAAAAUUCAACCAGAGUUAACGAUAAUUAGAACGAAGGAGCAACGUAUCUGGCGAAGGAAGUUAACCAGAAGAGAGGACGAGAAAUUUUUCGAAGAGAAGAACCUCCCCGGGGUUAAUUACCCCAUUUUACCCCAUCCAUGUCGGUGGAUUACACACGGACAGAGGGUGCACGCGUCGAGUCAGCCAGAGGAUGAUUUCGAGGCAACGAUUACAAAGUAGCCAGCUGCGAAACUCACCCCCUUCGCUCCUCCGUUGAAUGAAGUGGCCGGAAGCAGGAACACUGUCGGCCAAGAGAAAAGGCCGGGAUAAACUGAAUGAGCGGAAAAGAAGACAGCCCCGAGUCGAGGGCCGAGACCUUCGAUAAAAAGGAGCUACAAGGACGAAGGAAAAAAAGAGGAAAGAGAGGGAGGAGAGACAGGAGACUGCAAGGAAUAAAGUUCCCUGUCAAGUUGGGUGUACGGUGUCUCGAGAGACUGCCAGGCGAGUUUCCUUCAACCCCUCCCUCGAAUUCUGACGUUCAACCCUCCCGCAUCCCUUCGACCAGUUCCACUCUACUAGUUGUUGAUUGUUCCUGGCGUAAUUAUAACUUCGACCGGUCGCUACUUUCUCGGAUAUAAUUAUUAAUUACCGCGACGUCGAGGGGUGAACAGGGAAGGGGUGGUUCGCGACGGAUUCUCCCGUAGGAUCGUCGCGAAACAACGACACGUGAGAUCAAUCGACGACACGAGUACACCCCUGGGUCGUCUAUGACGCUCUUUGUCUUUGUCCUGCGGAUCGAACCGACAGGAUUUCAGUUUGCUUUCUUCCGUUAGCCUCGAUCGAAAUUUAUGGAAAGUCGAUGCUGCCUCUUGAGAAAGAAGAGAAAGAAUUGGAGAGGCAGGUUUAUUAGGUAUUGACGUUUCAGACGAGAGGUUCGAAUUGAAUAGAAGAUACUCGAAUACAAAUUGCAUUCUGUCCAAAUAUUCGCAAAAUAUAGAUAAUUUUAUACUUCUUAUCGUUUGAUUAAAAUUGGACACCUGGUUUAAUAAAAAAGAUACCGGGUUCGCAGGUUUUCAUUGAAUUUAAUGAAGAUCAAAUUAUCUCCGAAUACGAGCAGGCUCUGAAUAAUACAAAGUACAUCGAGCUUUGUAGUCCAUUAUCCUUGUAAUCCAUUAUCCAACUGGUAGUUAGCAAAAUUAUGGAUAUGAAACCGCGUGUCUCAUCAAAGUAGAACGAUACAACGUGAUCAACCACCUACGGUGGUAUAAGAAUAUUAAAGCUGCUAUUGAAAAAAAUUUUACAAUUUUUCAAACUCGCGAACUCGAUUAAAAUCAAUAAUAAUGAAAAUUUCAAUUAAGGAUGAAAUAUAUUCAGCGUUAAAAAAUUGAUAAUGAACGUACAAUUCAUGUUCCACUUGUUAGAAAAUUAAUAUAAUAUUUUUCUUUCUAUGUUACAAAAUAUUAUAAAAGGAAUUCAGAUCGAAUCCACGAAACUGACCCAUCCAUAGCAUCCCCAAAUCCUCCCUUUUAUCUUGACCCAUUUCUUUCUCUCGAAUCCACGUUUCCCCCAAAACUGACCAUCGUCAACCACCCUUCUCUCCCAUCAACCACCACAGCUAACUCAAUCCAAAGGAUUAAAAGAAUUUCAUAGGGGGUUGGGGGAUUGACGCAAGAUGCAAAUGCGGAGGAAUUGCUCGCAGUACGGACAGAAUGUGUAACGCAGCAUAUGUUGCGAUACUCUGUGGUCGAAUUUACACACAUACACGUGCAGAGUGGUUCGGUGCACGCAUGGCUACCGACACACUCGUGUCUCCAAGGGAUCCUGGUAUCUGCGCGAACAGUAAGAGCAUCGAUCACACGCCGGGGACAAUAUUGGCAUGAUAAUCGGAAGGGAUUCGGCACGGUUACGUAGUAACACGGGGCCCUGCACGGGAUCGUGGAACGGAUCAGGGGGCUGCAACGCGAUUAUUACACCGAGGGGGUUGCUUCAUAAAUAAUAGUGGUUGGAAAAGCGGGCGCAAUAUGGCUCGUCUUCAGCCAACACGAUUGUAACACUUUGUGGCAUUGGUAGUCCUCUUUAUUUCUAUGGAAUUAUUCCUUCCUCGUGGAUUGAACAGACUUUGUAAAAGGGGGUUGUUUAUUUGAGGGCUCAUUUUUUUUUAGAUGCAGAAAUCGUUACUGUCUGUUCUAAUAAAAUAAACUACCCAUUAAAAGUUGUUUAUUCCAAUGCAACUUUGUACAGAAUAAAUUAAUAACUUCAUCCUCCAUGAAUUAAGAGAAAAUUGAAAAUAAAAGUUAUUCUAUUUAUUUAUGCAAGGUGUUAGAAAGUUUUCCUGAAAUAACAAAAUAUUCUAUGUACUCUAUAAACAAUGCAGGAACGUUGAAGCAUAUUUGUCUGCAACUCAAAUAACAACAACAACCCUCGCCCCACCUGCGAACUUGCCCCCACAAUCAUGCGACCCCUAUCCUGCGGACGCAAACAUAUAGAACUGUUGUGUCGAGCUGCACCCUAGUGUCGCGCAAUCGUGUGCAACGUGCACACCAUUUUGUGGCGGGGUGUGGCGCGAUGCGGUUCCUGGUGAAUCAUGCACCACCCUCGAGGGAUCCAUCUACGAUUAAUUCCAUCACUUGACACGGCUGCCGCGCGCCAAAACGCGCGCCCAACAAACAUUUAAGCCGAGCAUUAAUCCCGAUAUGGCGAGUGGAAAAUGAAGACGGCUGGGGACAAAUGUCCCGUGAAGUUAACCGUCGAAACGCGAACUUAUGUGCUUAUUUUCUUUUGGAUCGAUGAUUUUCAGGGGGAUGAACGAUAUUGGAUGAUGUCAAACUGUUGGUCAUCGAUCAGUUGUUUCUUUGAUACGAGAUUACUUUCAGGAAAUUGAAGACAGAUGGAGAAUAUAAUAACCCACGUUAUUUGUUUAUAUAAUUUUAUAGUAAAUGUUUCCCCCUGUGGCUGGGGGGUUUAGAAUACAGCCACGGUAUCCUCUGCCUGUCGUAAGAGGCGACUAAAAGAGGGGGGGGUUAGAAAUGAGGAUAGGUAUUUUGCUUUUGAAUCUAUUGGUUGGUUUCUGCAUAUUAAGUAUGAUAUAAUUUCGUGACAUAAAAGUAUCACAAAAUACCAUGUAUGGUACAUUAAUUUAAAACUUAAAAUUUGGCAAAAAUUAAUAUAAAUUUGUUUAAGAAGAUUUUCAACUGCAAGAAAUUACAAAUAAAUCAUCUUUGUGUUUCAUUGCCUAUAACAACCCCUUCCAAAAACAUCACUGAUGUAAUAAUUAAUAUAUUAAAAUAAAAAAGAAGAAAAUUCCCCUCCAAAAAUCUGAGUAUAAUCCAUGUUUUGAAAGUGGAACACGUUCCUCGCCAUACAUUCUCAAUGUAUUCUGUACGUGCAGGUAAAAUAAGUUGUUUCGGUGGCUCAAUAAUUUGAGCUUGGUAAACCGCGGAAAUCCAGCGCUCCUCGAGCCAAUUAGUCCCAUAUUAUUUUAUAUGGGGCACGCGUUCAGCUCUACGGCUUCAUUCCGGCCCGGCUAGAGUUCCGGUUUAGGCGAGAAGGAGGUUAAAUGCUUGCCUGCGACGUGGUUUGCUUAGGGUUAAUUGGACAGCUCCGCUAGAAUAAUGCGGCGCUUUUUUCUUUUUUUUUUAAGACACUCGUGUUCGUUUUAUUGUGUCGCGUGCAACCCUUUUAUUUCGCUGGUAAUUAAAGCGAAAUGAAAUUUCUCUUGGUACUUAUGGUGUGGGCAGGUGUGGGUUUAAACGUGGUAGAAAACACUGAGGUUUAUGGAUGUACAUGAUCCCUGUACAUCUUUGUGAUUUUCCUUUUUUAAUUUAAUUUAAAUAUUUUAAAACUUUAAAUUAAAUUUUUAUAUAAAAUAUGCAAAAUAAAAUGUGUCUCCUUCAGUUGAAUAGAGAAAUUUUCACGAAUAUUCAGAGUUUGAUCGUUUCCUUGAUCUGAAAAGGGUUAAAUGAUAAAAUUUCUUCCUCGAAGCGAAGGAAAAAAAAGCGAAUGAACAGCUCGACACGAUCGUGGAACUGGUUUCAGUCACCGAUAUGCUGAUUUAUUAGUCGAAAGCUGGAGAAGGUAGUCUGAUAAACGAGUAACGAAGAACAAGCUGUCAGUUAGCGAACUCUUCGAUCUGUCUCGUUCGUCUCGCGAGGUGUCGCCAUUAACUUUAAUACCGGCCUCAUUACACCGGCUGGCCGAUAUUAAAACGGUCGAGUCCGAGCCGAGCAAAUGAUUAAUCGGCGUAAUUGAGUUUACUCAAUUCCGCGAUCAAUCCGAUCGUCUGGGAAACGCAGCUUUAAUAUUCAUUCCGAAUCUCGUAAUUGCGAGAUAGAUCCGUUCGAACGGUUUCCUCUGCUCGUUCUUUCCAGCUUCGUCGUUCAUCCAUAUGAAUCGAGGCGAAUUCAUGGAAUCUCGUGCAGCUUUUAGUAGCUUGAACAGAAGCGAGUGAAAAACGAUUGUAAUCCCUUUCAAGAUUCGUAAAACAAAUUUCAAUCGAACUUUGUGAAACGAUAAUUGAUUCAGAGACACAUAAGAGCCUCGGUAGUUCUAUUAUUAGGAACCGUAAAAUAUAAUCUUCGGAUGGUUAUUUAAUGGAUGAUCUUCAAUGGAAAUCGCUUAGGUAACGAAAGGGUUUUAACCAAGCUGGAACGGUGGCGCGUGCUGUUUUACGAGGAGCGUGUAACGAGCGCGAUCUGAAACGCAAAAUUGCCAGACCGUCGUAAAUCACCAGCCACCCCGUCGACCGAGUUCGCAGCCUAAUCAGUUUAAGUGAUUUCGAAAGGUGCUGCUUUCCAGUCGGAAAGCGUACCACCUCCGGCAACCUUCGCGCCUUCACCUCCAUGGUGGUCCAUGGGUACUGCGUGGGUGGACAACGCGUGCACCGAGUUACGCGUCAACCUUUUCAGCUUACCUCCGCGAGGAGGAAGAGGAGGAGGAUAUCUAACUCCUUCGCAUUGAUCGAUUCCUAUAGAAUCCUAUCUGUACAGGGGAUCUCGAUCGUUCCAUUGUUCCUUCUCCUUAGACCAGGGCCUUCCUAUUCCUGGCCUCGUUCGAUCUCGAGCUUUGUGUCUCUCGGUGUUUAAAGUCGAUUCAGUCUGACGUGAUUUGUGACGCUUUGUUCCUCGCUUGUUUCUUUUUUUAUUUCGCUCCUUUGAGUUGCGAGCUCGGUUUUUGAUCGAUGUGACUUCAAUCCACAGCCUAUUGGUACUAAUUGUGUCUCGGGUAGUGAGUUACGUUUCUUCGUACGGCUAUUUGUUCUCGUGCCUUUGUCUUGUAUCGUUUGGAAGAAAUUAUAAUGAUUUCUAUAUUGGAAUAAUUUGAAUGGCAGUCGAUUGAGAUUUUGUCCAGAAUUGGGCUCUGAAUUUAAAGCGAUCUUUAAUGAACGGAUUUAUCUGUUUUACCUUCCUAUCUGCCAAUCUCUGCCUAAUACGUUAGAUUAUCGUGGGUUAUGGCUAAUACGAUCAGCAGUGAAACCCCCGAUUACAUAUGCGCCGUUCUAUACAAUCAAUUAUGCAACAGGGCCCACAACUGGGCGUAUUGAAUUAUUGCUAAUGAGUUGGGUGAUGUGAUUAAUUUACACGCUCGACCUUCUCGCAGAGUAGCCAGGUAACAUUUUCCGAACAAGCUUUAAAUAGCAAAUUUCAAAUUCCAAUUUUUCGAACAGAAGAACGUCGAAUAUUAAUUGAAAACGAAAUGGUGAAAUAGAAAUUUUGUAUCACCUUAUACGGUGUCUUCGUUCGAACGUGCCUUGACAGUAUAAAUCGACCCUAACCCGUCCGGCACUUCCGCCCAUUAGAGUGAACUGUUUCCGUGGUGUCGAAGGGCAGCGAACAUUGAAUUCGCGAUAGCGAGCCGAAGCGAGGGGGUGUUACCGAAGGGUGUCGUGAAACGUUCGCACGGACAUAAUCGGUUGGGCCUGGUGGACGUUUUAUCGGUGAUACACCAGCGGCCCGAUAAAUCGCCGGGUAGAACUUUGCUCGCAAUUAGUAUGCUAAUGAAGAGGAAAAAGGGGGGUGACGGGUGAGCGUUGAUCGUAUUGGAGAUUAGAAAUUGACUUGGCCAGGAAAUAUGGAAAACAGAGCAGUGUGGACGGCAAGAUUGUUUUAUGUUCAGUAUCUAAUUAAUUGCUGUUAAUAAUACACUAAAAAAUAAUAUAUUGUAACUACCACCCUUAAUUCCGGGUACCGCAUGAAUUUUUGAGGUACCCAUACACCCCUCUUAAUUAGUAUAUUCGUCUACCCCUUCAUCAGAACCGACAGUGUGUAUUGUAAAAAUUUAAUCAAUUAGCCAGCCCAUGAAGAAAAGAAAGAAAGAAAAAGUAUCCAACAGGGACGAUGUUUAUCCGCAACAUUUAUUCGAAGCAUCCAUCGAAACGGUUAAUCGCGUUUCCCACAGAGUGGAGGCGGAUCGAAAUGGCGCAUCUGUUGUUCGUCCAACGGCAACUUUAAAUCCUGCGUAUUAUUAGAAGUCUAAUUUCGUUUCGCGGUCCAGCGAGCAUUCGACGCAAGGGUAAUCACGAAAUGACUAGUGGCGCGAAGAUACGCUUUCCUUUCCAUCUCUCUUAACCGAAGGGCACAGAAGGGGGUGGCUUUAAUGUUUUUAAUCUAAUUCCCCGCGUGCAAGUCCAGCACGAAACUUCUCCCCCGGGGUUCGUGUCCGAUUCGCUGGGGAUUUUUGCAUUGUGCAAUUCGACCGGGGGUGCGGGUCUCCCUUUCGAGGAAUGCCCUUACGAUCGAUCCUGUCUCCUCUACAAUUUCAUUUCUCACUGUACGAAUUACAAAUUUCAUUUUUUAUCGAAACAUCUUCGCGUGACUUCUCAAAGGGGUGGUUUUCGGAACGUUCGAAACAUCAGGAAAUAAGAAGGUGAAAAUUUAUGUGAUUCAGUAGUAGAACAUUAACACAGGUGAAAGCGAACGAUCCCAUAAGUUAGGGGUAGGUGUUACGAAAACAAAUCGAGGCCGCAGAACGAAUUUCUUUGAAUUCAUCCACACCCCAUAACCGCAGCCCUCCGUUCCCAAACCGAAGAAUAUUAAACACCGUAACGUUCUCGUAAAUCAUAACACCAUAACCAUAAUCCUGACACCUUUCGAAACAGCAAAAGCAAUUAAAUCCCAGACGAAAACACUGAAACGACAGUGCGUCAGAAAAAUAUUAGCACUCUAUGCUUUAUCCCUGUUUUAUAACAAAUGAAAUAUUAUUGUAUCCUCGCAACUUUAAUGACGUGCAGAUACUUUUGAGCGAUAGUGUACGAUAAAUCGAGCCCUGUUGCUAACGAGAUCCUUUUGUUCGACACGUAUUACCCCGUAGCACGCACCUUAUAUCCAUACAUUAAUAUCGACAAGCCUCGAGAGAGUGACGCAUCUAACGAGAAACGAUCCACGUGCACCCUGAGCAAGGGAUACUUAAUCUUUUUCGCCUCCCUAUGGAUAUUCCUGCGAGACAUUAAAGGGAGAAAGGGGCCCCUUGGAAUAUUUUCACACUCUCGCCUUGGACCCCCCACUGUCGGAAGCUAUUUUUUCUCCCUCUACGACCCCCCCAUGUUUUGUAACUAUUUUCCGCCACCUCGUGUCUCGUCUCCCUCGUUUUCCGAUCCAUGACUAUGCACCUCUAGCAAUAAAGCCUUCCACUUGCCGCGUAUCUCGCGUCACGGGGCCCCUUCGAGGUCCGCGUCCAGUCUAUGGGAUUAACCAGACUGCAACGCUUAAUGGACGAAGGGGGAAUAGACGUGGCAGCGGAUCCAAUUUCUAAUUCUACGCUCUGUAGAUUUCGACCGGUGCACGAGUUUUACUCUUUUGUUCGGAUGAACGCUGUUUGUUUAGGCUCCCUCUAUGGUAUGGUGUCUUCAUUGUUGGCGACUCCCUGCAUUAGAUGGCUGAAGGGAUGCUUUUUGUUACUUGGAAGAAGUUCGAAUUUCUUGGACAUUUUCUAUGGGGAUAAAUUCAAGAUUUCUUCCCUAUCAUUGUAUUUUCGAAGAUGGGUAUUAUAUAUCUAAAAAAUCAUACGAUCAUCAACCUAAUCCUAACAUUUGUUCAAAAAUAAAUUCCAAUAUACCAACGCGUUACCACAGUAGCGCCAUGCUCGACGAUCAAUUAAACGCCUCCAUUCAGCAAGUGUGCAUCCACCCCUUUGGUGCUCGUUGAAAGAGCACCCAGAGAAGAAAGAAAGGGCGGUGCACGCGGUGUCAUUCUAAAAAAGAACCAUACACACGUCGGUCCGGUAACAGGUGCUACUUGCCCUGUGCGAAGGACGACCCUUCUGGGCCUGUCCGACGACCCGUGAAAGUCAGCAUUCUCGUCCGGAGAAGUAAAAACCCCCGCUGGUACCUCGUGUCUGAUCGCCGGGGCGUGUCCUGUUCCUGCGGGAACUUCGUGUACCGUUCCCCACGGUCAGGAUGCACCGGGACGAGACACGCGUAUCCCACAAUUAUUCAAUGAAUACAUGAAUACGUGUAUAUUCAACGGGGACUCGCUACGCGAACGAGCAGAUGCAUAAUGCGCGUCCUCGACAACGGGUAAUAUCCAAGUAA
This is a long non-coding RNA of Osmia lignaria (orchard mason bee), 10086 nucleotides long. RefSeq lists it as uncharacterized. The record is from RefSeq and is a predicted model, not a curated record. NCBI's taxonomy places the organism in Eukaryota, Metazoa, Arthropoda, Insecta, Hymenoptera, Megachilidae.